ACUCAAAUGAAUUGACGGGGACCCGCACAAGCAGUGGAGUAUGUGGUUUAAUUCGAAGCAACGCGAAGAACCUUACCAGGUCUUGACAUCCCCCUGACCGUUCCAGAGAUGGAGCUUCCCUUCGGGGCAGGGGAGACAGGUGGUGCAUGGUUGUCGUCAGCUCGUGUCGUGAGAUGUUGGGUUAAGUCCCGCAACGAGCGCAACCCUUAGCCCUAGUUGCCAGCACGUCAAGGUGGGCACUCUAGUGCGACUGCCGGUGACAAACCGGAGGAAGGUGGGGAUGACGUCAAAUCAUCAUGCCCCUUACGACCUGGGCUACACACGUACUACAAUGGUCGGUACAACGGGAAGCGAAGCCGCGAGGCGGAGCGAAUCCCAACAAAGCCGAUCUCAGUUCGGAUUGCAGGCUGCAACUCGCCUGCAUGAAGUCGGAAUUGCUAGUAAUCGCGGAUCAGCAUGCCGCGGUGAAUACGUUCCCGGGUCUUGUACACACCGCCCGU
RNAcentral lists this ribosomal RNA (500 nucleotides) under uncultured bacterium. Its description in RNAcentral is "partial 16S ribosomal RNA". It matches the Rfam family "Bacterial small subunit ribosomal RNA", at positions 899 to 1397 of the family's 1533-position model. The record is from RNAcentral.